RNAcentral lists this ribosomal RNA (460 nucleotides) under uncultured bacterium. Its description in RNAcentral is "partial 16S ribosomal RNA". It matches the Rfam family "Bacterial small subunit ribosomal RNA", at positions 338 to 795 of the family's 1533-position model. The record is from RNAcentral.
CCUACGGGUGGCAGCAGUGAGGAAUAUUGGUCAAUGGACGAGAGUCUGAACCAGCCAAGUAGCGUGAAGGAUGACUGCCCUAUGGGUUGUAAACUUCUUUUAUAUGGGAAUAAAAUGUUCCACGUGUGGGAUUUUGUAUGUACCAUAUGAAUAAGGAUCGGCUAACUCCGUGCCAGCAGCCGCGGUAAUACGGAGGAUCCGAGCGUUAUCCGGAUUUAUUGGGUUUAAAGGGAGCGUCGGGGGAUUGUUAAGUCAGUUGUGAAAGUUUGCGGCUCAACCGUAAAAUUGCAGUUGAAACUGGCAGUCUUGAGUACAGUAGAGGUGGGCGGAAUUCGUGGUGUAGCGGUGAAAUGCUUAGAUAUCACGAAGAACUCCGAUUGCGAAGGCAGUUCACUGGACUGCAACUGACACUGAGGCUCGAAAGUGUGGGUAUCAAACAGGAUUAGAUACCCGGGUAGUC